Molecule: transfer RNA, 82 nt
Filed under: Armatimonadota bacterium
Lineage: Bacteria; Bacillati; Armatimonadota
Description: Armatimonadetes bacterium (sediment metagenome) tRNA-Leu
Rfam family: tRNA
About the family: Transfer RNA (tRNA) molecules are approximately 80 nucleotides in length. Their secondary structure includes four short double-helical elements and three loops (D, anti-codon, and T loops).
Source: RNAcentral
GGGCGAGUGGUGAAAUCGGCAAACACAGCGGACUUAAAAUCCGCCGCCGCAAGGCUUGGGGGUUCGAAUCCCCCCUCGCCCA